RNAcentral lists this long non-coding RNA (356 nucleotides) under Phoenix dactylifera (date palm). RNAcentral's name for it is "long non-coding RNA (PDAC_LNC018580)". Lineage: Eukaryota; Viridiplantae; Streptophyta; Magnoliopsida; Arecales; Arecaceae. The record is from RNAcentral.
UCGGUACUCAUACCCGGUCGAUGGUGCAUCGCCUUUUCUCCCCACCGACUCCGAGUCCCUUCAAGGGUUUUACUUGCCCCAUUGGAGCAGGAAUACGGCGAGAAGAGUCUCUUUUGCGCCCCUCAUUCGAUCUCAGAUGGCGGGUGGGACCGUUGGAUUCCCGGCCGAGGGAGCCGGCCCCGCCGGUCACAACCUCGCUCGCACCUUCAAAUACCUGAUGGGUAAAUCGAUCUCAGACGUGCAUUAAUUCGCAUGAUUUCAUGAUCUUUUUGCCUCCGGUUUCUUGAUCGUUAACUUUAUUGUUAUCAAUUCUUUCUUGGGUUUUCAGCAACGCAGUUCCUCUCGAGGGGAAUACC